AGCUUUGUGCAGUGGUAGUAUCGUAGCCAUUGAGGUUUAUCCGAGGCGCGAUUAUUGCUAAUUAAAAAUACCUUUCUUUUUUAGGGCAUUUUUUCCCUCUCAAAGUUUUUUCUGCUCUAUACAACCUUUUUUAUUUCCCAUGUGG
This is a small nuclear RNA of Neomonachus schauinslandi (Hawaiian monk seal), 145 nucleotides long. RefSeq annotates it as U4 spliceosomal RNA. The record is from RefSeq and is a predicted model, not a curated record. The transcript has a single exon. NCBI's taxonomy places the organism in Eukaryota, Metazoa, Chordata, Mammalia, Carnivora, Phocidae.